AACAAUUCAUAUGUGGCUCCUCCAUCUUUUAUUCUUAAUGGAAUACCUGGUCUGGAAAGAGUACAUGUAUGGAUCUCCCUCCCACUCUGCACAAUGUACAUCAUCUCCCUUGUGGGGAAUCUUGGUCUUGUGUACCUCAUUUAUUAUGAGGAGUCCUUACAUCGUCCAGUGUAUUUCUUUUUGGCCAUGCUCUCCCUCAUUGACCUCAUUACCUGCACCACCACUCUAUCCAAUGCACUCUGCAUCUUCUGGUUCACUCUCAAAGAAAUUAACUUCAAUGCUUGCUUGGCCCAGAUGUUCUUUGUUCAUGGGUUCACAGGUGUGGAGACUGGGGUGCUCAUGCUCAUGGCUCUAGACUGCUAUGUAGCCAUUUGCUACCUUUUGCGUUAUGCUACCAUACUCACCAAACCUAUCAUUGCCAAGGCUGGGCUUGCCUCCUUCCUGAGGGGUGUAUUGCUGAUGAUUCCUUUCCCAUUCUUGGUUAAGCGUUUGCCUUUCUGCCAAAGCAAUAUCAUCUCCCAUACGUACUGCGACCACAUGUCUGUAGUAAAGCUAUCUUGUGCCAGCAUCAAGGUCAAUGUAAUCUAUGGUCUAACGGUUGCUCUCCUGAUUGGAGUGUUUGACAUUUGUUGUAUAUCUUUGUCUUACACUUUGAUCCUCAAGGCAGUGAUCAGCCUCUCUUCAUCAGAUGCUUGGCAGAAGGCUUUCAGCACCUGCACUGCCCAUGUAUCUGCCAUCAUCAUCACCUAUGUUCCAGCAUUCUUCACUUUCUUUACCCACCGUUUUGGGGGGCACACAAUUCCCCCUUCUCUUCACAUCAUUGUGGCUAAUCUUUAUCUUCUUCUUCCCCCAACACUAAACCCUACUGUUUAUGGAGUAAAGACAAAACAGAUACAAUAGAGUGUCAUAAAGUUCUUCC
RNAcentral lists this small RNA (919 nucleotides) under Pongo abelii (Sumatran orangutan). RNAcentral's name for it is "unitary pseudogene". The record is from RNAcentral. Lineage: Eukaryota; Metazoa; Chordata; Mammalia; Primates; Hominidae.